AAAUACUUACAGCCCAAAUUAAUUAUCAAGACAUACGCCUUUACAUACUCAUUUCUAAACCCCUUCACCAUACCAUAUUAAGACAAAGAUUAACAGAUUCCAAUAUUAGAGCAGAGAAAUAACAUUUAUAGUGAAUCCUUCCCAACCAUACUCCAACGAUCUUAGAAAUAUAAAAUUAAUCACGAAGAAUAGUCAAUAGAAAUUAAGCAAAUCAAUCAGUUAAUAGUGAAUCCUGCCAAACCAUACUCCAAAAACCAUAGAGAUAUAUAAUUACACUAAUACUAAUCUCAAAUUCAAAAGGCACAUAGAGACAGUGAAGUUCAUAAAUAGAAAGUUUUAGACCAAAUCAACAAUACUAUGAGUAUUUUAACAAGUAAAAAUGAGCAGGUUUAGCAAGCUAUCAACCCAAGAAUCAUGAGCAGUUGCAUAUAAAAAACUAUAACAAGCAUACUCAAACGAUAGUAAGAAAUUAUAUGCAAACAUAUAUGAAUCAUUUGAAAGAGAUAGCAGAGGGUUAAACAGAUGGAGCAAUAAUUUAAAAGAGUACCGGCGACGGAUCUGAUGAGAUUCACUUUCAAAUAAAUAGCAAACCUAGUGCUUCACCGGAACUCACUUAGUCAGAGUGGCGUUAAUAGUCCUCGCACCUACUGACCGGAGCUCGGACUAGUACCGCUCUUUUUGUUGUUGUGGUCAUCUUCGAUGGAGAGAAGAGAGAAGGAGAGUUGAGCUCACAUGUCGCUCUCCGUCGUAGCUGCUUGUCGGAGUCAAGGCUGGUUCUCACCGGCUGCUGCUGUUGAUGUCACUCGUCCUGACCGAAAAGAGAGAAGAACGGAGGCAAGAGAGAAAGAGGAGGGAGAGGACGGCGAAAGGAGAAGAGGACAACCGACGACCUUUCUUGUCGGCCGCUGGCUCACGAUGGGAGCAGUCUCGCCAGAAAAUGGAGAGGCGAGAGGGAGAGGGAUUGGGCUAUGGUCUAGAGGAGAGGAGAAAAGAAUGAAAU
This 1000-nucleotide long non-coding RNA is filed under the name Solanum tuberosum (potato). RNAcentral describes it as "long non-coding RNA (STUB_LNC001435)". The record is from RNAcentral. Lineage: Eukaryota; Viridiplantae; Streptophyta; Magnoliopsida; Solanales; Solanaceae.